UCUAACCCCUACCAAUCAUGUGACCCAAACUAGGAUUAGCAAAAGCAAACAAGACCUUUGAGCUGUAGGCAUUUUCUCCUGAGGAAGCCACUUGCCCACAUUCUUGAAUCCUGAAAGAGCCACGUACAAGUCAGUGGACGAAGAAUCCUUACGAGGAAUUCUCUCUCCACCCAUGAGCUGAUUGAAUUGCCUUUUCUCAUAAGGCAAAGUACAAAUGUAGUCCCUGGUUUUACUAGAGAUCAAUUCUAGACAGUGGGAUUUUGUUUGGUUUCAAAGGGAUUUGAAAAGAUUAAAAAGGAGAAAAGAAACGAAAAUAAAGUCAUUUUCAAAAUCACGUGAUUGCCUUCCUACCUUAACUGAAGUUGUACUUGGGGUGGGGGUACGUUUUAAACUCUUUUUUUUUUUUUUUUGUGGUCAAUCACCUUGCGCUGCUCACAUAUUACUGGCUGGUCACUCAUAGGUCAUUAUUUUGCAUCACGAAGUUGGUAGAGUUAACUUUUGGGUUUGAGUUCUGGAAAAAUACUGGGAGAGGAGUGAGGAAAGGGGUCUUCCUGAAUAAGUUCAAAACUAUAUUUACGUUAACUGCAUGGGUUACUCGGGCCUGCUCAAGAUCUUGGAGUAGUGUCCUCACGAAAUAACAACAGAACACUCACAGUAUUCCUUCAUAUUCCUGAACCUUUUGCAAGUUCUGAGGAAAAUAUUUCUUUUCCUCCUACAAACAGCCCAUGUGUAAUUGUGUUGGGAGAUGUCAUUCUGAGGCCAGGGAGAAGGAGACUUCUUGCCUCCAGACGAGACAGUUAGAAUUUGCCGUUUUCCCUUACCCAUACCCUUAGCCCUUCCCGCACCUGCAAAAGCAGCAACCUUUACCUCACAGGAGGGAAGCAGUGGCAGACAGUUUUUACUAUUGACGUUUUCUGGCUCCCAAGUGGUCCUGACAAGGGAAGUGCUUUUAGGGAGACCCAUGAAAGAAAACCUGCAAACUCCUGCUUCUUCAACUGGCCCUGCCUGAUUGAAAAGUGGCUGGGUUUCAGUGGGGUUGAAUUCUAGUAGGCCUCAUGAGACCUCACAGAGCCAGAAUCUUCUGCCCGUGCAUUGUGUGAGGUGGCGUGAGUGCACCGUAGCCCGGCUUGAUCACACUUGUCUCCAGGAAGGCUCCAGGCCUCACCGCACACCUAAUCUCUCUGAGUCCCUUUUUCCUUGUGCGAUUCAGACAUGAUAAUGCUUCCCAUGUGGUUGAGGUGAGGAUAGAAUUGAAUACUAAUUGUGAAAAUCGUGACGAGUUCAUAGUAGGAAUUACAAAUAGCGCUUCCAGACCUUUCCCUGGUGUCUGUCUGAGGCUGCUAAUGUCUCAUUAUCAGUGUGUUAGCUCACUGCUAACGGUCCCUCCUGCUCAACCCGCACUUGUGGAAGAACAAAGAGGAAGAAUGGCAGGCCACAGUGUGAGACUCCGGUGACAAUGUCCAUGUCUUCAGCACCUGUGCUCAUAGAGGACAUUCACAGAAGCCAGGGCAGUACCUGGUCAGAACCUGAAACCUGUCAUCCUAAGGUAAGAGGACUCAGUUCCAUAAUUGGGCUAAAAGACAACCCCAAGCAACUAUGGCCACCAGCUUAUUCUUCCAUGCUGGGGAGAUGGUGGACGGUGAACCCCACACACAGUCACUGAGGUGCUGAUGGGAACAAUCCGUUGCUUUCCUUCCCUAAUGCACUUAGGGAUUAGGACUGCCUCUGAGGGAAAGUCUACAGAUGUGAAGUUGUCUGUGAGGCUUCUUCCUGUGGUCUCUAGUCUUCCCCUCUGUAGUAACGUCCUCUUCUGAAGCAUCUGCAACAUAGUCAUCCUUCUUUCUCUGUAGAUUUUGGAGCCAUGCAACCCAGUUGUCGAUGUUAAAAAUUGAAAUAUUUUUUGCCUCUGUUCUGAACAUGUACAAACUGCUCCCCUGUAACUAGCCUGUAAACUAGGUACUGUACAGCGGCUUACAGGGCAUUUACAGUGUAUUACAGUAUAUUACCUACUAUAGGGGUCUAGAGAUGAUUUAAAGUCUAUGUGACGGUGUGUGACGGUGACGUGCUGAGCUGUCUUAUCCAAGGCACCUGAGCAUCCUUGGAUUUCAAAUCUGAGGGAGUCCUGAAGCAAAUCGCCAUGGAUACUGAGGGAAAGCCUUAUUACUUACCUCAUAGUCUCAUGCGGGAUUUCAAUGUCUGGCCUGGAAUUACCCUCAUUUUGCCCCUCUCUGCUCAGAAUCCCUGUGUGUAGACUCAUAAGAGUAGAAAGAAAAAAAUCAGUUCUGAGCUUCACCGUAUCCCACAUUGCUCGCUCUGGGUGGGCGCCAAAUACAUGCUUCAUGGGAUGGCUGAGAGGGGAUGGAUCCAUGGAGAAGGUCCUUCCAAUUUAGUUCUAGGAGUUGAAAACAGGGGCCAUAUCCUGAUAUCUGGAGAAAGCUCGUGUAUGGAAGUGCUUAGGACCCAGCCAAGCCAAAAUCAGUCCUGGGAAGAGAUAUGUCAGGACCUUACACUGAGUCCUGUCUUUCCAGACCUCAGAAUCAGCUCUGUUCCUAUAGCUGCAGCCACGCCAUGUUGGGAGCCAACCCUGUGUCCUUCCAAUAAGUGGCCCCAUGAUUGUCCUAAGCAGCCUGUGUGGCAUUUCCGUUGCUUCUUUCUGGACAACUCCUGUUUGCUUUGUCUGACUCCACAGAAUUGAGCUGUGACAGUCAUUCCUAAGAACCUAACUGUAAGGAGUCCGUAAGGUAUUUUUCUUUUAAGUAUCUUCGUCAAAGAAUAGCAUUCAGGAAAUAAGUAGGAAAAAGUAUAAGACACUAUUUUUUAAAGGAUAAGGAAGAUGGUGAUUUAAUUUUAGGUCAUUACAGAGUACCAGUCAACAGACAGAUGACCAGAAACCUGACAGAAAUUAACGCUUAUUAUUGGGCCUCUGUUUCAGAUAUGACUGAGGUAAGGGUCUCUAAUGGUAUCCAACAGGCCUGUAAGAUUGUAACAAGAAUUUGAAAGCCACAAAGAUGCUAUCUUCACCUUAGAGCUCCAUAUAAGAAGAGAGGAAUGUAUCCAAAGAGAUGGGGCACUAGGUAGGAAAGCCAGAGACCUCACUCAGGGCAGGGAAAGAAAAGCAAACAACAGAGAAGGGGUUGAUGCCCCCAUUGACUCAAAGCAGGGAAGAGAAUAAAGUGUCUUCUUAUAUGAUAAUUCUCGACAUGUACUGUAUGAAUUGGACAAUUAAGUCCAGAAAGCGUGUGAAGAUGGGCCUAGACUAAGUGGGUCAGCUCUGAGUACUCCUCAAGAGCACAGGAGUGGAUUCUGCACACGUGAUAUGGGUUAGGUUUUUCUGUUCCCAGGAGGUAGACUCAGAGGAAGAGGGAGUAACGAAUCCCACUUUGUCAUAGCAGCCAUGUUUGAUGAGUGACUGACCUCCAGGUCAAUGAGAUCGAGCUGAUGUCUUUUCUAUCCUUACUACAGACGUGACCAGAACACAAGGAAACCAUAUUUGUUACUUUUCUGUUAUGGUGACAAAACACCCUGACCAGAGCAACUUGCAGAAGGAAGGAUAUUCUUAGGAUUAUGGUUCCAGUGGUCCAGUCCAAAAUGGUGGGGGAAGGCAAGGCAGCAGCUGGCUGGAACACAAAGCCAGAAAAAAAUCACAUUUUCAACCACAUGUGUGAAGCUGAGGGUGAACUGGAAGUGCGGCAAAGGUUAUCAACCUUUGAAACCCACCCUAAGCAACACCAGACCUCCAGCAAAACUACACCUCCCCAAACCUCUCCAGACGGUGCCACCAAGUGGGGAACAGGUACUCUCAAAUACGGGAGACCCUGAAGUGAUAUUUCUCUUCAAACCUCCAAAGGGGCCUUGGGUAGGAGUUGGUGUAUUGCUGUAUUGGCAAAUACUGAGUUUAGGUAACCCUCCCUUUACAGGAUAGAAAAAUAUUGAAAUGUUCCAACAUAGUUUAAUGAGAAAAUAUAGCUAAAGGAGCAGAAUCAUAAGUGUUAGAAUAGAGUUCGCCAUAGAUACUGCAAGACAUUUUUAGGGACAUAAUAAGAUAGCCACAAUUAGGUUAAAAGACAACACAAAGGAAUGGCUGUUUAUAUAAUAGUCACCUUCUUCCAGUAACUCUUAAUUGUGUGUGUAUUAAAAUUGACAACGCUUUCCGAGUUCUAAUCUGUUUGCCUCCCAUGGCUUUUGACACACUGAAUGUUUCAGCUUGCACUUUUCUUGUGUCUAAUUUAUUUCAAAAGCAAGCGCUAAGUGUUGUCUAAGUGAGGACAGUUUUUGGAUGAAUGCUGUCUGUGACCUCCUACUUCCUUUAUGUUAUGCCUGAGAAAUGAGCCCUCUAUAGGUUUUGUUUUGUUCGUUUUAGAACUUAGACAGUUUUUCCUUAUGGAUUAUUACAUCAUCAUUUUUUUGUAGAAAUUCUGAAGACUCUUGAUCUGUAUGACGUACCACUGAGAUUUGUAUUUUCCAUUACAGAAAAUUUCAAACCCAAGACGGGAAGAAAAUGAUCAGUGUCACCAGGCUUCAGUAAUGUGUUCGUUCAGGGAGCCGUUUGUGACAUACGGAGGUAAAACGCACAGAAGCGUCGCACCCAACUUCGAAUACUACCUGCAGGCACGUCUGAGCCACCCCACGCCGCCCGAUCUAUCUGAUGACCAGGCACAAAGACAGUAUAAUCGACAGACUUUGCCCCUCCUGGUUGAUUCCCUAAAUUCCCCUGAAGUGUGGGUUGCUGGUUGUCAGAUGGAUUCCAAUGCUAGAGAGCUUGAUCCCAGAGUGGCCCUAGCAACCUUCGCCUUCAUUUUUACCCAUUCGAAGAAGGCAUUAGGUCCCAUGGAAGUACAAUUAAGACAGUUGUGAGCCAUCAUGUGAAUGCUGGGAAUUGAACUCAGGACCUCUGGAAGAGCAGCCAACACCUUUAACCGCUGAGCCAUCUGUCUAACCCCUGGUUCACGUUUCUUGAAGAGUCUGUCGUUUUUCUAAUUGGCUGGAGCAGAAAACUGUUUGGAAAUAACAGAAGGGCUGAAGCUGUAUCUUCAGUUUCUGGUAAUUGAAGAGGAAAGGACAGUCUGCAUUUGCUAAUGAGCUGGAUACAGAUCUUACUUCUUCCCCAGUAGAAUAUCAGGACCCAGAACUGAGCCACAAAAUAAGGCCUUGAGCCGAGAAUAACAAGGGUUUUGUUAUGUUGUCCACUCCAGGACCCAUUCUGCUAUUUUCAUAACAUUCUAAAUGAUUCCGCAUCUGCAAGUAAUUAGUUGCAAAAUAAUCUAUCUUGGGACUGUGGGUUAGUGAGAGUUGGGCAAUAGGAGUUCCAACUGUGACCUAGCAACGUGUAAGUCAUGUUCCUCCUGCCUUUGCCUGCAACCGUAAAUACAUAACGUAGAUAUAGGCAGGGCCUACACAACGAUGAGCAUAGUCAUUUGCCUGAGAACUUAAUUAUUGACAAUUGCUCCCUUUCUACGAAGGCCCUUUCCAAUGUUGUCUAGAUUCUUUUCUACAACACCCUGAGAGACAAGAGAGGUAAGACCUGUAUCUGAUAGUGGUUGUUAAGGAGGUGGCAUGGUUUUCUUUUGUUUAGAAUUCACUAAUAGUUCAUUGACGAUAAUAACACACACAGAGAGAAAACCAUAAGAAGAAAUCAUAGUCACAUGGCUCUGUGAGUCAUCACUGUUCAUACAAUCGCACACGUAACCAACACCGGGGUCAGGAAAAAGCAAUGCUAACACUCCCACAUUCCCUUCCACAUACCCAACUCCAAAGGGAGCCCACCCUUCUGAUUCUAAAUCAAUGACGGGAAUAUUUGAGUGAAUUUUUUAUGGCACUCGAACAACAUCCUUGUCAGGUGUAGAUAACGCCUACCUGCCUAGGACACUCGCCUCUUCUUGAUAAACUGCACUUGCUGUGAAGAAACAACAGAGGGCCCAGCGUCUAGCUGGAAGAGAGCACCUCUGAGCUGGAGCCUACCAGCAGGCUCCAAGGGCUAAAGGACAGACAACUAGAACUUCUAUCUGUCUCUGUCAAAGGCUGACCCCAAACUCAGUUAAGAGUUUUGAAAGAGAAAUUGUCUUUAGGACUUGAUGGCUACGGUGGCCAUCUUUUUCCUACUGUGGACAUCUAAAAAUGUAGGCUGGGAGCACAAACUCCAAAAUAAUUUUGUUCUACCUAAACCAGAGGCGAGGAGUGGGAGGGUUUUUCAAAAGACUCUUCUGUUUGGCUAUGUAUUUCACUCAGUGACCAUGGGGAAGUCUGUCCUGUGCUCUACAAGGAGAGAGAGAUUUUGCUGGAAUGUGGAAGCGAGGAACAAGUGCCUGGUUGACCUCCUGGUGUGGACGAAUAUAUCCCCAGGGUGAAGUCUUGUGAGCAUACUUGGGGUGGGCAGAGCCAAAGACAGGCAUCAUUUAACUCCAGCUGAAACCUUCUGGAAGCUUCCUCUCCCAACCAUCAGGACUGCUCUCCUCUAAUUCUCCCCACUAUCUAGAGACUAACAAACUAGUCUUACAUCUCAACUAGUGGCCUGCUUGAGAAAGUUUGGAGCCUUGUGAAGAAUAGAGAAAUGGAUUGGGCCAGGUGCUGCAUUUGGUAUUUAUUUGUUUAUUUAUUUAUUUACUUACAUGCCUGGGGUAACCUAGGCUGACCUUGAACUUACUAUGUUACCGAUUCUACCCCUGAACUCCAGAUCCCAGAGGACUGAAGAUGUUCUCUCCACAUAGCCUGAUUGAACUGAGCCUUUAAAUGGAGCCCAGCUCUGCCUAGUAUAAUGAACUCUGUGCUCACACUUCCUCCACUAGAAAUAACUGCUUUAGACCAUUCAACCAACAUGCCAGGGCUCAUCAGACCUCCUUUCUCUCUGGAGUCUUUGUCUACCCCUCUACUCCACGCCAGACCCAAAGGUUCUGGGCUCAGAACCUUUACAUGAAGAGAGAUCUCUUGGGUUUGAAGUUUUACCCAAUCACAGAUAAGUUGUUAUUGUUGUUCCGUCCCUCGAGGGAUCAAAUGCUUUUCAUUUAAUGACUUUUUGAAAAGUUGGAAACCUUACCACCUUACAAAAUUUUCAUCAGAGGACUAAGAGACCCAGGUCACAAAUGAAAUCUGUGGUGGCAGAUCCUAAGGGAAUGUUUAGGUGGUAUGCCUCUCCUGCUGUGAUGCACACAGAGAAAUGCGACGACGACGACGUUUCCAUUUGAAAAAUGCCCACAUCAACUCCCCCUUCGUAGCAGGGGCUGGUUUCACAAGCCUUGUCGCAGGGUUACUCCUCAGAUAACAGCUUCUUAAAAUUCCCCAGGUGUGUGUCCCUGACUGCAAGUGUCUGAGGAGCCCAGAGGUGUCCUCCUGGAAUUGGCGUUAUAGGCAGUUUUGAGUUACCUGAGUGGAAUUCAGGUGCCAGGUAGCCCAACAUCCUUACCGAGGAGAAGCCGUUUGCAGCUCCCAUAAAUACAGAACUUUGAUGCGUGAAUUGUUACCGAGAUGAGCAGGUGCUGGUAGAGUUCUCAGACGAGUCCACAAGUUCUCCAGUUGGCAGAGCUUGACUUUAAUUAAGACAGUUCUGUGUGGGGGAGACGUGUCCCUAUCCCAUAACGGUGCCGGAGAAGAGGAGGAGACACAUUUACGUCUACAACAUGUUUCAUUAAACAAUAGCUGGUUUCCAUA
Non-coding RNA from Rattus norvegicus (Norway rat), 7641 nucleotides. Lineage: Eukaryota; Metazoa; Chordata; Mammalia; Rodentia; Muridae. The record is from RefSeq and is a predicted model, not a curated record.